CCUACGGGUGGCAGCAGUGGGGAAUAUUGCACAAUGGGGGAAACCCUGAUGCAGCAACGCCGCGUGAGUGAGGAAGUAUUUCGGUAUGUAAAGCUCUAUCAGCAGGGAAUCGAAUAGAAGGUACCUGAAAACGAAGCGCCGGCUAACUACGGGCCAGCAGCGGCGGCAAUACGGAGGGGGCAACCGUUGUCCGGAUUUACUGGGAGUAAAGGGAGCGUAGAGGGAAAGGCAAGUCAGAAGUGAAAGCCGAAGGCUCAACCAGGGGACUGCAUUUGAAACUGUCAAACUAGAGUACGGGAGAGGGAAGAGGAAUGCCUAGUGUAGCAGUGAAAUGCGUAGAUAUUAGGAGGAACACUAGUGGCGAAGGCGUGUUACUGGACAGAAACUGACGCUGAGGCACGAAAGCGUGGGGAGCAAACAGGAUUAGAUACCCCAGUAGUC
RNAcentral lists this ribosomal RNA (441 nucleotides) under uncultured bacterium. RNAcentral's name for it is "partial 16S ribosomal RNA". It matches the Rfam family "Bacterial small subunit ribosomal RNA", at positions 338 to 795 of the family's 1533-position model. The record is from RNAcentral.